This 468-nucleotide ribosomal RNA is filed under the name uncultured bacterium. RNAcentral's name for it is "partial 16S ribosomal RNA". It matches the Rfam family "Bacterial small subunit ribosomal RNA", at positions 28 to 507 of the family's 1533-position model. The record is from RNAcentral.
GACGAACGCUGGCGGCGUGCUUAACACAUGCAAGUCGAACGGAAAGGCCCUGCUUUUGUGGGGUGCUCGAGUGGCGAACGGGUGAGUAACACGUGAGUAACCUGCCCUUGACUUUGGGAUAACUUCAGGAAACUGGGGCUAAUACCGGAUAGGAGCUCCUGCUGCAUGGUGGGGGUUGGAAAGUUUCGGCGGUUGGGGAUGGACUCGCGGCUUAUCAGCUUGUUGGUGGGGUAGUGGCUUACCAAGGCCUUGUCGGGUAGCCGGCCUGGGAGGGUGACCGGCGACAUUGGGACUGAGAUACGGCCCAGACUCCUACGGGAGGCAGCAGUGGGGAAUAUUGCACAAUGGGCGGAAGCCUGAUGCAGCAACGCCGCGUGCGGGAUGACGGCCUUCGGGUUGUAAACCGCUUUCGCCUGUGACGAAGCGUGAGUGACGGUAAUGGGUAAAGAAGCACCGGCUAACUACGUG